GCACCCAUCCACGCGAGCAAGGACGAUUCGAAACUGUCGCUCCUGCAUGAGUUGUACGGGCGUGUAGCUAAAAGCUGGAAUCGGCAGAAAAAGGGAUGAGGGGAAGCGUCACCGCGCGAUUCAGUUUUUUUGGGGGGAAUAGUUGCUCUUGCUGCGUCGUUCCGAUGGUUAACACGUGAAGAAGAAUAGAGAACAACGGGUAGAUCAGGUUUGGAAUUGGG
Molecule: unclassified non-coding RNA, 221 nt
Filed under: Hevea brasiliensis (rubber tree)
Lineage: Eukaryota; Viridiplantae; Streptophyta; Magnoliopsida; Malpighiales; Euphorbiaceae
Source: RNAcentral